RNAcentral lists this small nuclear RNA (163 nucleotides) under Salvator merianae (Argentine black and white tegu). RNAcentral describes it as "U1 spliceosomal RNA (ENSSMRG00000017376.1)". It matches the Rfam family "U1 spliceosomal RNA". From Rfam's summary of the family: U1 is a small nuclear RNA (snRNA) component of the spliceosome (involved in pre-mRNA splicing). Its 5' end forms complementary base pairs with the 5' splice junction, thus defining the 5' donor site of an intron. Lineage: Eukaryota; Metazoa; Chordata; Lepidosauria; Squamata; Teiidae. The record is from Rfam by way of RNAcentral.
AUACUCACCUGGCAGAGGAGACACCAUGAUCAUGAAGGUGAUUUUCCCAGGAUGAGGCUCAUUCAUUGCACUCUGGGUGUGUCGACCCCAGUGAUUUCCCCAAAUGCAGGAAAUUUGACUGCAUAAUUUGUGGCACUGGGGGAUCCGUUCGCGCUUUCCCCUG